UGGGGAAUCUUAGACAAUGGGGGAAACCCUGAUCUAGCCAUGCCGCGUGAUCGAUGAAGGCCUUAGGGUUGUAAAGAUCUUUCAGCUGGGAAGAUAAUGACGGUACCAGCAGAAGAAGCCCCGGCUAACUCCGUGCCAGCAGCCGCGGUAAUACGGAGGGGGCUAGCGUUGUUCGGAAUUACUGGGCGUAAAGCGCACGUAGGCGGAUUGGUAAGUUGGGGGUGAAAUCCCAGGGCUCAACCCUGGAACUGCCUCCAAAACUCCCAGUCUUGAGGUCGAGAGAGGUGAGUGGAAUUCCGAGUGUAGAGGUGAAAUUCGUAGAUAUUCGGAGGAACACCAGUGGCGAAGGCGGCUCACUGGCUCGAUACUGACGCUGAGGUGCGAAAGCGUGGGGAGCAAACA
This 402-nucleotide ribosomal RNA is filed under the name uncultured prokaryote. RNAcentral describes it as "bacterial SSU rRNA". It matches the Rfam family "Bacterial small subunit ribosomal RNA", at positions 355 to 774 of the family's 1533-position model. The record is from RNAcentral.